This is a non-coding RNA of Malus domestica (apple), 1233 nucleotides long. The record is from RefSeq and is a predicted model, not a curated record. Lineage: Eukaryota; Viridiplantae; Streptophyta; Magnoliopsida; Rosales; Rosaceae.
UCAAACUCUUCCGUGAAGCAGUCCAAGAUUACAACUUUAUUUCUUGUUGAGCCGAAAUUAAUACGGGUUAGAAAAGAGUGAAAAAAAAAAUGUCGAAAAUUCAUGUGGAAAACAAAGCAGCCUCCUUCAAUUGUACCUUUAAGAGCAUUUCCAUCCGUUUGUUUUGGGCAAGAGUAAUUGCCCAGAACAACUUCAACGGGCCAAAAUAAGGAGAGCAAGUGGUGGCACGGCCAUGCUCACUCAAAUGCCCGUGUAAUUUUAGUCUUGUCUUGCGUCAUCAGGCAAGGUUGACGUUUGCCAAUGAAGCUUGCAUUGCAACAGUGGGUUCUAUUGCAACAGCUCCAACAGAAGAACCCAACAGCUCGAUGACGCGGUGCAUGAGAGCAUUGGAUUUUCAACAGCCUGAUCUUGACCGUUGGAUAAGGAGUUACUAAUAUUUUAGAUAUACCAUAUAAGAAAUGCCUCACGAAUCACGAGUCACGAGUCAUGCCAAAGUUAGGCUCUGAAAUUUUUAGAGGCGAGACAAAUUUAAGCUUGGUUGCAUUUGUGAGGUCAUCUGCUUCUGACCAGCUAAAAUUCCAAUUCUGCAACUUGUGGUUGAAUGUUAACAUGUUUUUGCAGAGAGAAACAUAAAUGGAGCUCUUUUCUCAAUAGGAGUUCAGAAAAAGUUUGAGUCUUGAAGCUCGACCAUCUGAGGAUUUGCAGUGUCACAGAGGAGUGGUAGAGCAAUGGAUGGCACCACACUUGAGAGAUUGAAAGAGGUUGCUGAUACAGCAAAAAAUUCAGCUCCUCCGGUUCAAUGCCUACCUCCUAACCACUUCAUCUGUCCAAUUCUUAAGGAUGUGAUGGAUGAGCCAUGUGUGGCCGCAGAUGGUUACACUUAUGACCGCAAAGCGAUCGAGAAAUGGCUCGAAGAGAACGAUAACUCACCGAUGACAAAUUUGCCAUUGCCAAACAAGGAUGUUAUACUAAACUAUACUCUUCUUUCUGCAAUUAUGGAGUGGAAGACCAGAAAACAAUAGCAUGUUCCUUUGUUAAUUGUUACUUUUUAGGGUAACACUGGUGGGUUAGUUUAUUGCGAGGCUGGCAUUAGGUAGCGUUCAGGGUUGAAUAUUUUGUAAGUUGUUGAAUUCGUCCAUGGUUUCAAAUUUCAAUGGAGUUUCUGUUUUAUCCAAUAAAAAAAGAAAUAUUGAGAUUCAAGAACCAAAUGCCAAAAAGUAUUUUAUUGGAGGA